AACGUCGCUGGCGGCACGCCUAACACCUGCAGGUUUAAACGAAGUAGCAGUACUUAGUGGCAGACGGGUGAGUAACAUGUAGGUAUCUGCCCUUUGGCCGUGGGAAUAACACGAGGAAACUUGUGCUAAUACCGGAUAAGUCUUUACGGAGAAAGCUUUAUGCACCAUUGGAUGAGCCUGCACUUGAUUGAGUUUGUUGGUGGGGUAAUGGCCUACCAAGACUGUGAUCAAUAGCUGAUUUGAGAGGAUGAUCAGCCACAUUGGGACUGAGACACGGUCCCAAACUCCUACGGGAGGCAGCAGUGGGGAAUCUUGCACAAUGGAGGAAACUCUGAUGCAGCGACGCCGCGUGAGCGAAGAAGGCCCUUGGGUUGUAAAGCUCUUUCGUCGGGGAAGAAAAUGACUGUACCCGAAUAAGAAGGUCCGGCUAACUUCGUGCCAGCAGCCGCGGUAAUACGAAGGGACCUAGCGUAGUUCGGAAUUACUGGGCUUAAAGAGUUCGUAGGUGGUUGAAAAAGUUCAGUGGUGAAAUCCCAGAGCUUACCUCUGGAACUGCCAUUAAAACUUUUCAGCUAGAGUAUGAUAGAGGAAAGCAGAAUUUCUAGUGUACAGGUGAAAU
RNAcentral lists this ribosomal RNA (619 nucleotides) under uncultured Alphaproteobacteria bacterium. RNAcentral describes it as "bacterial SSU rRNA". It matches the Rfam family "Bacterial small subunit ribosomal RNA", at positions 28 to 687 of the family's 1533-position model. The record is from RNAcentral. Lineage: Bacteria; Pseudomonadati; Pseudomonadota; Alphaproteobacteria.